Molecule: ribosomal RNA, 157 nt
Filed under: Russula brevipes
Lineage: Eukaryota; Fungi; Basidiomycota; Agaricomycetes; Russulales; Russulaceae
Also listed under: 2 other names
Description: 5.8S ribosomal RNA
Rfam family: 5.8S ribosomal RNA
About the family: 5.8S ribosomal RNA (5.8S rRNA) is a component of the large subunit of the eukaryotic ribosome. It is transcribed by RNA polymerase I as part of the 45S precursor that also contains 18S and 28S rRNA.
Source: RNAcentral
ACUUUCAACAACGGAUCUCUUGGCUCUCGCAUCGAUGAAGAACGCAGCGAAAUGCGAUACGUAAUGUGAAUUGCAGAAUUCAGUGAAUCAUCGAAUCUUUGAACGCACCUUGCGCCCCUUGGCAUUCCGAGGGGCACACCCGUUUGAGUGUCGUGAA